This 371-nucleotide ribosomal RNA is filed under the name uncultured bacterium. RNAcentral's name for it is "partial 16S ribosomal RNA". It matches the Rfam family "Bacterial small subunit ribosomal RNA", at positions 1 to 349 of the family's 1533-position model. The record is from RNAcentral.
GUACUCGCGAAUGCCUCUAGAUUAGACGUUUGAUCAUGGCUCAGACUGAACGCUGGCGGUAAGCCUAACACAUGCAAGUCGAACGGCAGCACAGGAGAGCCUGCUCUCUGGGUGGCGAGUGGCGGACGGGUGAGGAAUACAUCGGAAUCUACUCUGUCGUGGGGGAUAACGUAGGGAAACUUACGCUAAUACCGCAUACGACCUACGGGUGAAAGCAGGGGAUCUUCGGACCUUGCGCGAUUGAAUGGGAGCCGAAGUCGGAUUAGCUAGUUGGCGGGGUAAAGGCCCACCAAGGCGACGAUCCGUAGCUGGUCUGAGAGGAUGAUCAGCCACACUGGAACUGAGACACGGUCCAGACUCCUACGGGAGGG